This 497-nucleotide ribosomal RNA is filed under the name uncultured bacterium. Its description in RNAcentral is "partial 16S ribosomal RNA". It matches the Rfam family "Bacterial small subunit ribosomal RNA", at positions 28 to 507 of the family's 1533-position model. The record is from RNAcentral.
GAUGAACGCUGGCGGCGUGCCUAAUACAUGCAAGUCGAGCGAACGGACGAUAAGCUUGCUUUUCUGAUGUUAGCGGCGGACGGGAGAGUAACACGUGUAUAACCUACCUAUAAUACUGGGAUAACUUCGGGAAACCGGAGCUAAUACCGUAUAAUAUUUUGAACCGCAUGGGUCAAAAGUGAGAGACGGUCGUGCUGUCACUUCUAGAUGCAUCCGCGCUGCAUUAGCUAGUUGGUAAGGUAACGGGUUACCAAGGCAACGAUGCAUAGCCGACCGGUGAGGGUGAUAGGCGACCCUGGAAGUGAGCCGGGGUCCUGAGUCCUGCGGGACGGCGCAGUCGCGUAUCUGACGCAGUAGGCGAAAGUCUGACGGAGCAACGCCGCGUGAGUGAUGACGGCCUUCGGAUCGUAAAGCUGUGUUUUGAGGUAAGAACAUCUGUGUACGUAACUGUGCACAUAUUGACGGUACCUAAUCAGAAAGCCACGGCUAACUACGUG